RNAcentral lists this long non-coding RNA (385 nucleotides) under Amborella trichopoda. RNAcentral's name for it is "long non-coding RNA (ATRI_LNC003866)". Lineage: Eukaryota; Viridiplantae; Streptophyta; Magnoliopsida; Amborellales; Amborellaceae. The record is from RNAcentral.
AGCGGUUAUUUCUCACACUAAAUAGAGCUAAAAAGAAGCACUAAGAACACCAAAAAAUGAGUUUUUUUUUAGACUUUCUCUCACUAAAACAUGAUACACAACAAACCCACAAUAUACUCAAGCUUUUGCUCACUUUCUCUCUCUAAAAUAGAGCAGACAACCCACAAUGGACUCUCUCUCUAAAAUAGAGCAAACAACCUACAAUAGACUCAAGCUUUUGCUCACUUUCUCUAUCUAAAACAGAGAGAUAACAACGCUCAAGAGAAAACUCAAUUGCAGCCCAAUCCCUUUAUCUUUUUCUCACUCUUUCACUCUCUAAACAAAAAGAUUUUAAUCCUUUUAGUUUCUAAAGUUCCUACAACAUCAUAACUGAAUUAGAUAGAAU